This 223-nucleotide unclassified non-coding RNA is filed under the name plant metagenome. RNAcentral's name for it is "partial contains small subunit ribosomal RNA, internal transcribed spacer 1, and 5.8S ribosomal RNA". The record is from RNAcentral.
UUUCCGUAGGUGAACCUGCGGAAGGAUCAUUAUCAUGUAAUUCAGUCCCCUUGGCUGUGUUAUAUAUAUACCCACUCUGUGUACCUUCUCCUGUUGCUUCCGCUGGGUGUGUAAUUCGCCCGGCGGAAGGGUAAAAAUAACCUCUGAGUAUUGAUGAAAUCUCUGUCUGUACCGAAUAGAAAGAAAAAUGUUAAAACUUUCAGCAACGGAUCUCUUGGUUCUC